CGUGAGUGGCGGACGGGUGGGUAACGCGUGGGUAACCUGCCUCAUACAGGGGAUAACGAGUUAGAAAUGACUGCUAAUACCGCAUAAGACACAGCACCGCAUGGUGCAGGGGUAAAAACUCCGGUGGUAUGGGAUGGACCCGCGUCUGAUUAGGUAGUUGGUGGGGUAACGGCCUACCAAGCCGACGAUCAGUAGCCGACCUGAGAGGGUGACCGGCCACAUUGGGACUGAGACACGGUCCAA
RNAcentral lists this ribosomal RNA (243 nucleotides) under uncultured bacterium. RNAcentral describes it as "partial 16S ribosomal RNA". It matches the Rfam family "Bacterial small subunit ribosomal RNA", at positions 90 to 334 of the family's 1533-position model. The record is from RNAcentral.